UGAAUACGAGACGCUAAGGCGUCGAAGUAGUGUAUGUCAUACUUCCAAGAAAAGCUUGCACUGUCAUAGAUAAAAAACGCCUGUACCAUAACCGACACAGGUGGGUAGGUAGAGUAUACUAAGGGGCGCGAGAUAACUCUCUCUAAGGAACUCGGCAAAAUAACUCCGUAACUUCGGGAGAAGGAGUGCCUUAUUCGUAAGGUUGCAAUAACAAGAUCCAAGCAACUGUUUAUCAAAAACACAGGUCUCCGCUAAGUCGUAAGACGAUGUAUGGGGGCUGACGCCUGCCCAGUGCCAGAAGGUUAAAGAAGUUGGUUAGCAAUUGCGAAGCUGAUAACUGAAGCCCUGGUGAACGGCGGCCGUAACAAUAACGGUCCUAAGGUAGCGAAAUUCCUUGUCGGGUAAGUUCCGACCCGCACGAAAGGCGUAAUGAUUUGGAUACUGUCUCGGAGAGGGGCUCGGUGAAAUAGACUUGUCUGUGAAGAUGCGGACUACCUGCACCAGGACAGAAAGACCCUAUGAAGCUUUACUGUAACUUGAAAUUGAAAUUGGACUUUAUUCGCGCAGUAUAGGUGGGAGGCGUUGAUUAUAAUCUUGUGGGAUUAUUGGAGCCAUCAGUGAGAUACCACUCUUGUAAUGUUAGAUUUCUAACUUUGAAUCAUUAUCUGGUCAAAGAACAGUUUCAGGCGGGCAGUUUGACUGGGGCGGUCGCCUCCUAAACGGUAACGGAGGCGUACAAAGGUUUCCUCUGAACGGUUAGAAAUCGUAUCUAGAGUGUAAAGGCAUAAGGAAGCUUGACUGUGAGACCUACAAGUCGAGCAGGGACGAAAGUCGGUCUUAGUGAUCUGACGGUACUGAGUGGAAAGGCCGUCACUCAACGGAUAAAAGUUACUCUAAGGAUAACAGGCUGAUCUCCCCCAAGAGUUCACAUCGACGGGGAGGUUUGGCACCUCGAUGUCGGCUCAUCGCAUCCUGGGGCGGUAGUACGUCCCAAGGGUUGGGCUGUUCGCCCAUGAAAGCGGUACGCGAGCUGGGUUCAGAACGUCGUGAGACAGUUCGGUCCAUAUCCGGUGUAGGCGUUAGAAUAUUGAGAGGAGCCUUCUUUAGUACGAGAGGACCGAGAAGGACAUACCUCUGGUGUACCAGUUAUCGUGCCAACGGUAUACGCUGGGUAGCUAUGUAUGGAGUGGAUAACCGCUGAAAGCAUCUAGGUGGGAAGCCCACCUCAAGAUAAGUAUUCUC
RNAcentral lists this ribosomal RNA (1242 nucleotides) under metagenome. RNAcentral describes it as "bacterial LSU rRNA". It matches the Rfam family "Bacterial large subunit ribosomal RNA", at positions 1564 to 2815 of the family's 2925-position model. The record is from RNAcentral.